CCUACGGGGGGCAGCAGUGAGGAAUAUUGGUCAAUGGACGAGAGUCUGAACCAGCCAAGUAGCGUGAAGGAUGACUGCCCUAUGGGUUGUAAACUUCUUUUAUAUGGGAAUAAAACAGGGUAUGCAUACCCUCUUGUAUGUACCACAUGAAUAAGGAUCGGGUAAAUCCGUGCCAGCAGCCGGGGUAAUACGGAGGAUCGGAGCGUUAUCCGGAUUUAUUGGGUUUAAAGGGAGCUUAGGUGGGUUGGUAAGUCAGUUGUGAAAGUUUGCGGCUCAACCGUAAAAUUGCAGUUGAAACUGGCAGUCUUGAGUACACUAGAGGCGUGCGGAAUGCGUGGUGUAGCGGUGAAAUGCUUAGAUAUCACGAAGAACUCCGAUUGCGAAGGCAGCUCACUGGACUGCAACUGACACUGAUGCUCGAAAGUGUGGGUAUCAAACAGGAUUAGAUACCCCGGUAGUC
This 460-nucleotide ribosomal RNA is filed under the name uncultured bacterium. RNAcentral describes it as "partial 16S ribosomal RNA". It matches the Rfam family "Bacterial small subunit ribosomal RNA", at positions 338 to 795 of the family's 1533-position model. The record is from RNAcentral.